This is a long non-coding RNA of Ostrea edulis (European flat oyster), 482 nucleotides long. RefSeq lists it as uncharacterized. NCBI's taxonomy places the organism in Eukaryota, Metazoa, Mollusca, Bivalvia, Ostreida, Ostreidae. The record is from RefSeq and is a predicted model, not a curated record. The transcript is spliced from 4 exons.
AUUGUAAACUACCCUGUGGUAACUGUAAAGACAACGUUACUUGUAGUAGCAUAAACGGAAUCUGCGCAAAUGGGUGUGCAGACGGAUGGUUUGGCGAAAAGUGUAACAUUGGUUGUAACUUGAAUACAUAUGGGGAUGAUUGCAAACUAACCUGUGGUUACUGUAAAGACAACGUUACUUGUAAUAGCAUAAACGGAAUCUGCUCAGAUGGGUGUGCAGACGGAUGGUUUGGAGAGAAAUGUGACACUAGUUGUGGUUUCUGUAAAGACACUAUUACGUGCAAUGUCAUAAACGGAAGCUGCUCAGAUGGAUGCGCAGACGGAUGGUUUGGAGAAAAAUGUGAUAUUAGAUGUCGUUUCAAUACAUAUGGCGAGGACUGUAAAAUACCUUGUGGUUUCUGUAAAGACAAUAGCACGUGCAAUUUCAUAAAUGGAAGCUGCUCAAAUGGUUGUGAAGACGGAUGGUUUGGAGAACAAUGCGAC